RNAcentral lists this transfer RNA (92 nucleotides) under Thermoplasmata archaeon. RNAcentral's name for it is "tRNA-Ser". It matches the Rfam family "tRNA". Rfam says of the family: Transfer RNA (tRNA) molecules are approximately 80 nucleotides in length. Their secondary structure includes four short double-helical elements and three loops (D, anti-codon, and T loops). Lineage: Archaea; Methanobacteriati; Thermoplasmatota; Thermoplasmata. RNAcentral also lists the same sequence under 2 other names. The record is from RNAcentral.
GCUGAGGUAGCUUAGCCAGGCCUAAAGCGCCGGCCUUGAGAGCCGGUGGCGCCUUGGGCGCCGCGGGAGUUCAAAUCUCCCCCUCAGCGCCA